This 660-nucleotide ribosomal RNA is filed under the name uncultured bacterium. Its description in RNAcentral is "bacterial SSU rRNA". It matches the Rfam family "Bacterial small subunit ribosomal RNA", at positions 94 to 788 of the family's 1533-position model. The record is from RNAcentral.
AGUGGCGGACGGGUGAGUAACGCGUGAGAAUCUGCCUUGGGGUCGGGGACAACCACUGGAAACGGUGGCUAAUACCGGAUAAGCCGAUUGGUGAAAGAUUUAUUGCCCGAAGAGGAGCUCGCGUCUGAUUAGCUAGUUGGUGAGGUAAGAGCUCACCAAGGCAGCGAUCAGUAGCUGGUCUGAGAGGACGAUCAGCCACACUGGGACUGAGACACGGCCCAGACUCCUACGGGAGGCAGCAGUGGGGAAUUUUCCGCAAUGGGCGAAAGCCUGACGGAGCAAGACCGCGUGAGGGAGGAAGGCUCUUGGGUUGUAAACCUCUUUUCUCACGGAAGAAGCUCUGACGGUACCUGAGGAAUCAGCCUCGGCUAACUCCGUGCCAGCAGCCGCGGUAAUACGGAGGAGGCAAGCGUUAUCCGGAAUUAUUGGGCGUAAAGCGUCCGCAGGUGGCGAUUCAAGUCUGCUGUCAAAGCACGGGGCUUAACUCCGUAAAGGCAGUGGAAACUGAAUAGCUAGAGUGCCGUAGGGGUAGAGGGAAUUCCCGGUGUAGCGGUGAAAUGCGUAGAGAUCGGGAAGAACAUCGGUGGCGAAAGCGCUCUACUGGACGGCAACUGACACUCAGGGACGAAAGCUAGGGGAGCGAAUGGGAUUAGAUACCCC